UAAUAUUAAACUUUAAUGAACUUGUAUGUCUCUUUGGUUUGGACAGUCGUUCAACUUAUAUGUAAUCGAUGCUAUUUAUUAGUAGGACCAUGAAUCGUGUUGUUAUAGUUGUAAUAUUAAACUUUAAUGAACUUGUAUGUCUCUGUGAAUUUCUACUAACGUUUUGUUUGGCUAGUGCAUAGAGAUGCCGUCGUAUGUCGUGUACAAGGGUAAGGUUCCCGGAGUCUACGACGACUGGGAGGAGUGUCG
RNAcentral lists this long non-coding RNA (249 nucleotides) under Hordeum vulgare. Its description in RNAcentral is "long non-coding RNA (HVUL_LNC009442)". Lineage: Eukaryota; Viridiplantae; Streptophyta; Magnoliopsida; Poales; Poaceae. The record is from RNAcentral.